GCAGAUGCAGAAGCGGCCCAAAACAACUGGAUGCUUCCAACAUCCAGUAUGUGCAGAAUGCGUACCAUAGGUUCGAAUCCUGUUCUCUCCGCC
This 93-nucleotide transfer RNA is filed under the name Xenorhabdus beddingii. RNAcentral's name for it is "tRNA-Gly". Lineage: Bacteria; Pseudomonadati; Pseudomonadota; Gammaproteobacteria; Enterobacterales; Morganellaceae. The record is from RNAcentral.